This 58-nucleotide microRNA precursor is filed under the name Columba livia (rock pigeon). RNAcentral's name for it is "Cli-Mir-1677-P6_pre stem-loop". The record is from RNAcentral. Lineage: Eukaryota; Metazoa; Chordata; Aves; Columbiformes; Columbidae.
ACCUGCUCUCAUUUAAGUCAAUGUGAGUUUUAUCAUUGACUUAAUUGGAAGUGAGAUU